UUGAGCUGUAACAAAACAAAUUAUCUGAUGAAGCUGCAACCAUGAGAAUAGGAAAGGAUGUCAAGUCUAAAGAAAAGGCAAUAUAACAAAUGGUUGCUGAAUUCAUGAAGACUAGCUGGGAUGAUACAGUACUUUUCUACUCUUAUGAACCAUAUCUAAACAUCAUUUGAGGAUCCCUUUGUCAGAAAAAAAAGAAUUUGCAUAUUCAAAGACUCUAUAGUUUAUUGUUUAUUUGUAUGUUGUUUAACAUUCUUCUUGAAAAUUUUUAACUCAUAUGGGGAUGCCAACAUUUGCAGGUGGAAAGCUGCAAAUUUUGUCCUUACUUGGAACACAUGGCUAAUUGAGCAAUGAGGGAUCAUUUUGGUGCUAG
Molecule: long non-coding RNA, 370 nt
Organism: Saccostrea cuccullata (small rock oyster)
Lineage: Eukaryota; Metazoa; Mollusca; Bivalvia; Ostreida; Ostreidae
Exons: 2
Source: RefSeq, a predicted model, not a curated record